GAGUUUGAUCCUGGCUCAGAUUGAACGCUGGCGGCAGGCCUAACACAUGCAAGUCGAACGGUAACAGGAAGAAGCUUGCUUCUUUGCUGACGAGUGGCGGACGGGUGAGUAAUGUCUGGGAAACUGCCUGAUGGAGGGGGAUAACUACUGGAACGGUAGCUAAUAACCGCAUAACGUACGCAAGACCAAACGAAGGGGGACCGUU
This 205-nucleotide ribosomal RNA is filed under the name uncultured bacterium. RNAcentral describes it as "partial 16S ribosomal RNA". It matches the Rfam family "Bacterial small subunit ribosomal RNA", at positions 9 to 215 of the family's 1533-position model. The record is from RNAcentral.